Molecule: unclassified non-coding RNA, 214 nt
Filed under: plant metagenome
Description: partial contains small subunit ribosomal RNA, internal transcribed spacer 1, and 5.8S ribosomal RNA
Source: RNAcentral
UUUCCGUAGGUGAACCUGCGGAAGGAUCAUUCAUAAUAAGUGUUUUAUGGCACUUUUUUUAAAUCCACAUCCACCUUGUGUGCAAUGUCAGGGUUGAUUUUUCUUUCGAGGGGAACAGCCCUAAACAUCAACUAUAUAUCAACUCUUUGUAGGAAAAAUAUUAUGAAGAAAACAAUUCAAAAUACAACUUUCAACAACGGAUCUCUUGGCUCUC